This 189-nucleotide non-coding RNA is filed under the name Lysobacter sp. Its description in RNAcentral is "FMN sequence". It matches the Rfam family "FMN riboswitch aptamer (RFN element)". Rfam says of the family: The RFN element is a highly conserved domain that is found frequently in the 5'-untranslated regions of prokaryotic mRNAs that encode for flavin mononucleotide (FMN) biosynthesis and transport proteins. This element is a metabolite-dependent riboswitch that directly binds FMN in the absence of proteins. The record is from RNAcentral. Lineage: Bacteria; Pseudomonadati; Pseudomonadota; Gammaproteobacteria; Lysobacterales; Lysobacteraceae. RNAcentral also lists the same sequence under 1 other name.
UAACGUCUUCAGGGCGGGGUGCAAUUCCCCACCGGCGGUAGGCGAGGUCCUGUCCACGACAGACCACGCGAGCCCGCGAGCGCCUCCAGUGCAGCGGAGGGUCAGCAGAUCCGGUCGAAUGCCGGAGCCGACGGUUCAAGCGUUCCGCUUUCCGUGGAGCGCCCACAGUCCGGAUGAAAGAAGACGGCU